ACGGAGGGUGCAAGCGUUAUCCGGAUUUAUUGGGUUUAAAGGGUCCGUAGGCGGACGAUUAAGUCAGUGGUGAAAUCCAACAGCUCAACUGUUGAACUGCCAUUGAUACUGAUCGUCUUGAGUAUGUUAGAUGUUGGCGGAAUAGGUCAUGUAGCGGUGAAAUGCUUAGAUAUGACCUAGAACACCGAUUGCGAAGGCAGCCAACAAUGCCAUUACUGACGCUGAGGGACGAAAGCGUGGGGAGCGAACAGG
This 252-nucleotide ribosomal RNA is filed under the name uncultured bacterium. RNAcentral's name for it is "partial 16S ribosomal RNA". It matches the Rfam family "Bacterial small subunit ribosomal RNA", at positions 525 to 776 of the family's 1533-position model. The record is from RNAcentral.